RNAcentral lists this ribosomal RNA (471 nucleotides) under uncultured bacterium. Its description in RNAcentral is "bacterial SSU rRNA". It matches the Rfam family "Bacterial small subunit ribosomal RNA", at positions 335 to 802 of the family's 1533-position model. The record is from RNAcentral.
ACUCCUACGGGAGGCAGCAGUGGGGAAUAUUGCACAAUGGGGAAACCCUGAUGCAGCCAUGCCGCGUGUGUGAAGAAGGCCUUCGGUUGUAAAGCACUUCAGUAGGGAGGAAGGUAGUGUAGUUAACACCUGCAUUAUUUGACGUUACCUACAGAAGAAGCACCGGCUAACUCCGUGCCAGCAGCCGCGGUAAUACGGAGGGGUGCGAGCGUUAAUCGGAAUUACUGGGCGUAAAGCGCAUGCAGGUGGUUUGUUAAGUCAGAUGUGAAAGCCCGGGGGCUCAACCUCGGAAUAGCAUUUGAAACUGGCAGACUAGAGUACUGUAGAGGGGGUAGAAUUUCAGGUGUAGCGGUGAAAUGCGUAGAGAUCUGAAGGAAUACCGGUGGCGAAGGCGGCCCCCUGGACAGAUACUGACACUCAGAUGCGAAAGCGUGGGGAGCAAACAGGAUUAGAUACCCUGGUAGACUGUCA